Molecule: ribosomal RNA, 559 nt
Filed under: Xylaria sp. BPV139b
Lineage: Eukaryota; Fungi; Ascomycota; Sordariomycetes; Xylariales; Xylariaceae
Description: eukaryotic LSU rRNA
Rfam family: 5.8S ribosomal RNA (bases 198-351)
Source: RNAcentral
CGGAGGGAUCAUUAAAGAGUUCUAUAACUCCCAAACCCAUGUGAACAUACCUUACGUUGCCUCGGCAGGUUCGCGUCUACCUGGUAGCGCCCUACCCUGUAGGACCUACCCUGUAGAUGCGGGGAAAGCUUGCCGACGGCCCACGAAACUCUGUUUAAUAUUUCGAAUUCUGAAAAAUUAUAACUAAAUAAAGUUAAAACUUUCAACAACGGAUCUCUUGGUUCUGGCAUCGAUGAAGAACGCAGCGAAAUGCGAUAAGUAAUGUGAAUUGCAGAAUUCAGUGAAUCAUCGAAUCUUUGAACGCACAUUGCGCCCAUUAGUAUUCUAGUGGGCAUGCCUGUUCGAGCGUCAUUUCAACCCCUUAAGCCUCUGUUGCUUAGUGUUGGGAGCCUACGGUAACGUAGCUCCUCAAAGUUAGUGGCGGAGUCGGUUUACACUCUAGACGUAGUAGAUUCUAUCUCGUCUAUCGGUUGAGCCGGUCUCUUGCCGUAAAAAACCCCUAAUUUUUUAAAGGUUGACCUCGGAUCAGGUAGGAAUACCCGCUGAACUUAAGCAUAUC